RNAcentral lists this ribosomal RNA (483 nucleotides) under uncultured bacterium. Its description in RNAcentral is "bacterial SSU rRNA". It matches the Rfam family "Bacterial small subunit ribosomal RNA", at positions 29 to 487 of the family's 1533-position model. The record is from RNAcentral.
AACUAACGCUGGCGGCGUGCCUAACACAUGCAAGUCGUACGAGAAAGUUGGCUUCGGCCGAUGAGUAAAGUGGCGCACGGGUGAGUAAUGCGUGGAUAAUCUGCCCUUUAGUUGAGAAUAACGUACCGAAAGGUGCGCUAAUACCUGAUAAUACUGCAUAACUACUGUUGUGUAGUCAAAGAAGGCCUCUGUUUACAAGCUUUUGCUGAAGGAUGAGUCCGCGUACCAUUAGCUGGUUGGUGGGGUAAUGGCCUACCAAGGCUACGAUGGUUAGCUGGUCUGAGAGGAUGAUCAGCCACACUGGAACUGAGACACGGUCCAGACUCCUACGGGAGGCAGCAGUGAGGAAUAUUGCGCAAUGGGGGCAACCCUGACGCAGCAACGCCGCGUGAGUGAGGAAGGUUUUCGGACCGUAAAGCUCUGUCGAGCGGGAAGAAAUGUAUCAUGGCUAAUAUCCAUGAUACUUGACGGUACCGCUAAAGG